Molecule: small nuclear RNA, 19 nt
Filed under: Arabidopsis thaliana (thale cress)
Lineage: Eukaryota; Viridiplantae; Streptophyta; Magnoliopsida; Brassicales; Brassicaceae
Description: snRNA_08819
Source: RNAcentral
ACCUGCGGUAUACCGCGGU